Molecule: transfer RNA, 76 nt
Filed under: Acidobacteriota bacterium
Lineage: Bacteria; Pseudomonadati; Acidobacteriota
Also listed under: 2 other names
Description: tRNA-Ala
Rfam family: tRNA
About the family: Transfer RNA (tRNA) molecules are approximately 80 nucleotides in length.
Source: RNAcentral
GGGGAUGUAGCUCAGUCGGGAGAGCGCCUGAUUUGCAAUCAGGAGGCCAGCGGUUCGAACCCGCUCAUCUCCACCA